Molecule: ribosomal RNA, 778 nt
Filed under: uncultured Neocallimastigales
Lineage: Eukaryota; Fungi; Neocallimastigomycota; Neocallimastigomycetes; Neocallimastigales
Description: partial large subunit ribosomal RNA
Rfam family: Eukaryotic large subunit ribosomal RNA
Source: RNAcentral
ACACGCAUGACACACUGCAUAUCAAUAAGCGGAGGAAAAGAAACUAACAAGGAUUCCCCUAGUAACGGCGAGUGAAGCGGGAAGAGCUCAAAUUUGAAAUCUUAAAGGGUUUCCCUUGACGAAUUGUAGUUUAAAGAAGUGUUUUCUGUUAGAGAGGUGGUAAAAGUUCUUUGGAAUAGGACAUCAUAGAGGGUGAGAAUCCCGUAUUUGAUCACUUUCUACUAACGUUGUGAUACACUUUCAAAGAGUCGGAUUGUUUGGGAAUGCAGUCCAAAAUGGGUGGUAAAUUUCAUCUAAAGCUAAAUACUGGCGAGAGACCGAUAGCGAACAAGUACCGUGAGGGAAAGAUGAAAAGAACUUUGAAAAGAGAGUUAAACAGUACGUGAAAUUGUCAAAAGGGAAGCGUUUGACACCAGUGUUGUUUUCUCGAAAAUCAAUUAAAAAUGGUGGGAUUUUGUGUUGUAUUGACCUUAUAAGCUUUCUGCACUCUUUUCUUGUCUUUUUUAAUGCACUUUUCGUUUAACAAGUCAACAUCAAUUUCUUUUGUUGUAAUAGAGUCAUUGGAAGGUGGCUUUCUUUUCGGAGAAAGUGUUUAUAGCCUUUGAUCUCUGCAGCUCGGAGAGACUGAGGUCUGCAGCGUAGACUCUUCGGGGUUAGAUACAUUUGUGCUAAGCUAUAGCCUUUUAUAGACAACUUGUUGACUAUGAUUAGUCAUUGUAGCUUACUCGCUUAGUGCUAUUUUACCUACGCUUAGGAUGUUGACUGAUAUGUAGUCGUA